GUAGCGUAUAUUAAAGUUGUUGCAGUUAAAAAGCUCGUAGUCGAACUUCGGGCCCGGCGGGACGGUCUGCCUUACGGUAUGUACUGUCCGGCUGGGUCUUACCUCUUGGUGAGGCUACAUGCCCUUCAUUGGGUGUGUAGUGGAACCAGGAAUUUUACCUUGAGAAAAUUAGAGUGUUCAAAGCAGGCAUUUGCCCGAAUACAUUAGCAUGGAAUAAUAGAAUAGGACGUGCGGUUCUAUUUUGUUGGUUUCUAGGAUCGCCGUAAUGAUUAAUAGGGAUAGUCGGGGGCAUCAGUAUUCAAUUGUCAGAGGUGAAAUUCUUGGAUUUAUUGAAGACUAACUACUG
RNAcentral lists this ribosomal RNA (346 nucleotides) under Apiotrichum laibachii. Its description in RNAcentral is "SSU rRNA". It matches the Rfam family "Eukaryotic small subunit ribosomal RNA", at positions 594 to 945 of the family's 1831-position model. Lineage: Eukaryota; Fungi; Basidiomycota; Tremellomycetes; Trichosporonales; Trichosporonaceae. The record is from RNAcentral.